AACGAACGCUGGCGGCGUGCCUAACACAUGCAAGUCGUGCGAGAAAGUUCCUUCGGGAGCGAGUAAAGCGGCGCACGGGUGAGUAACACGUAGGUAACCUGCCCCCCAGUCUGGAACAACUAGAGGAAACUCUAGCUAAUGCCGGAUGAGACCACGAUCCCUUCGGGGGGUUGCGGCCAAAAGAUGGCCUCUACUUGUAAGCUAUCGCUGAGGGAUGGGCCUGCGGGCCAUUAGCUUGUUGGUGAGGUAACGGCUCACCAAGGCUGUGAUGGCUAGCUGGUCUGAGAGGAUGACCAGCCACACUGGGACUGAGACACGGCCCAGACUCCUACGGGAGGCAGCAGUGGGGAAUAUUGCGCAAUGGGCGAAAGCCGUGACGCAGCGACGCCGCCGU
RNAcentral lists this ribosomal RNA (394 nucleotides) under uncultured bacterium. Its description in RNAcentral is "bacterial SSU rRNA". It matches the Rfam family "Bacterial small subunit ribosomal RNA", at positions 29 to 403 of the family's 1533-position model. The record is from RNAcentral.